Molecule: long non-coding RNA, 1019 nt
Filed under: Phaseolus vulgaris (common bean)
Lineage: Eukaryota; Viridiplantae; Streptophyta; Magnoliopsida; Fabales; Fabaceae
Description: long non-coding RNA (PVUL_LNC003921)
Source: RNAcentral
GGAGCUCUUCUUGGAUGUUGUGAAAAUUGUGCGGAAGCUAUGGAUUGAAAUGGGCAAGAUCCUCCUAGGAGUUGUGGUGAUCUUGAAGGUGCAUGAUGAGUAUGGAAGAAGGGAGGUUCGGUCAGCCCUUUGAUAGAUGGUGAAGAUGAAGAUUAGGUCCUAGAAACUAGGCAAAAGCAAUGUAUGGCACAAUGUGGACAGCAUAACAUUACUCUCAUUAAUCUUGAAAAUACAAGUGAUGGGCUUCUCCUUUUAUAGGCUAAGGAGGCUGUAAAUCCUAAGCUAAGAGAAGAUGAAAUGUGAGCCAAAUGAAAUGAGAGGCACAUGGGCACAUGGAGCACAUGGGUGCACAUGGGCACAUGGAGCACAUGGGUGCACAUGGGUUCACAUGGGUUCCAAAACCGUCCCUUGAUUAGUGAAGGCUUCUAGAAACCUUUAGCUAAUCAAGGUUAACUCCUCCUUAAUUCUAAUGUGCAGAAAAAUAACAUUUGUCCACAUGGCUAUGCUAUUUACACCCCAAUUAAAGCUAAACUACACUUGAUGGGCCUUCACGGAAUAUGUACUAGUAUGUCACUCUUCCAUUCAUAGCUUGAUCCAAGUCUUCUUGUCCUAUACGCUCCUAGCUUGUCCUAGACGCUCCAAGCUUGGCCUUCUUGUCCUAGACGCUCCUAGCUUGUCCUAGACGCUCCAAGCUUGGCCUUCUUGUCCUAGACGCUCCAAGCUUGGUCUUAGACGCUCUUGACUUGGCUCUUGCCUUUCAUGGAAGGUUGUGCUUGGCCCUCUUCCAUCACAUCCUCUCUGACCACCGCCCCCUGAUCACCGAUCACCACCCUGGGUGACUUUCUCAAUGACUCAUCUGCUUCCCUGGCCCACGUGUUCCACUAAGAACGGUCCACGUGGCUAUCUGUUGCUGAUGUCACCGAUUAUCGAUGACUGACCGGAUCAUAAGGUAAAUAGUAUUUAAGAUAAAAUCAAAAUAUCUAAAAUUCAAAUAACAACAGAAUAAUAUUGGCCAUCAG